RNAcentral lists this ribosomal RNA (253 nucleotides) under uncultured bacterium. RNAcentral describes it as "partial 16S ribosomal RNA". It matches the Rfam family "Bacterial small subunit ribosomal RNA", at positions 524 to 776 of the family's 1533-position model. The record is from RNAcentral.
UACAGAGGUCCCAAGCGUUGUUCGGAUUCACUGGGCGUAAAGGGUGCGCAGGUGGGUUGGCAAGUUUGACGUGAAAGCCCCGGGCUUAACCCGGGAAUGGCGUUGAAAACUGCUGAUCUGGAGGAUCGGAGGGGGGACUGGAAUUCUUGGUGUAGCAGUGAAAUGCGUAGAUAUCAGGAGGAACACCGGUGGCGAAGGCGGCUUUCUGGACAGUAACUGACGCUGAGGCGCGAAAGCUAGGGGAGCAAACAGG